UAUAGCUAGAAGUUACUAUCGCAAGGAAAGUGCUGCCUCACCCCCAAGGGAUCAAAGGCAGCAUGCAGAAUUUGCUGAAUAAGGGUCAGUUUAUAUGAUCCUGCUUUGCCGUAUUACUUGUAAAAUAAAUUACUGUGCACGAUUCAACAAAAAACUACAUAGUUAACUGUAAACUAAAGGUUGUUCAAGGAGCAAUAAUAAUCUUUUUGAACUACAACAUUUGAAUUCUGUUGACUUAUUUCAAUACAUUAAAAUCACCCCGCCUUCCAAUAUUUACAGUAAACAGCCCCUAAGACACCUGUUCAUGAGGUAGGAAAAGUGCAACUUGAAUAUCAAACACCUUGCACAAAGUCAAAGGUCAGCUAAAUAUUCUAUUUCUACUUUCUUGGCAUUGGGCAGUUUUAUAUGAAUACCUUCAAUGCUUAUAAUUUCUUGUUUUUGUAUAUAUAAUUACAAUACUGUCUGUGGCAAAGCUAGCCAUACCAAAAGGUCAUAAACUAUGCAAAUUUGUAAUUAUUUGCAUUAUUCAAAUAUGCAGGUUUAUAAUAUACCAGUUGCCAUGGCUAGCUAGCCACUGAAUACUGUAUAAUAUCAUAUGCACAAUGUGUCUCAAAAAAAGUGAACCUUUCAAAUUUGACAGCUCUAAUUGCUUUGAAUUAAUGAUUGGGUAAGAACACAAGAUCUUGUACUCAUGGGACAAAACUCAAAGAAAUAAAAAUUAGAAAAUUCAGUUAAAAGAAAUACAGUAUACCUUGUGUUCUUACCCAACUAUUAAUUCAAUGCAAUUAGACUGCUGUCAAAUUACUACAAUACGUUAUAGCUAAUUUGAAUUUGAAAGGGUUCACUUUUUUUUUAGACACACUGUAGAAAUACUAAGUCUGUUUUUCCCAAUUAUUAUUUACAUUGGCAUCUUCAAGGCUACCCCUAUUGCAAAUCAACCGAACAAUCUGAUGGGGAGACAAAAUCUAUUUUUAAUUAAUAUGUCAGCUUCAGAUGACACCAUUCAUUGUACUCAGUCAGAGAUUGUACUCAGUCAGAACUGCAAAACUAUAUAAUAAGAAAGAAAUUGUGAGCAUUAUCGCAGAAUAUUCUUGGGUUUCAUAUGACGUCACAGAAGUGACGGGGGGUCAACUCAAAAACAAAACACAAUUAUCAGAGUGAGUCGAUUGUUUGUUUUAUGUAUUAGCCUUGUGUUUGGUGGCAAUACAUGGAAUUUCGUAUCAUUUUCUCACUCCAAUACAGCAUAAGCAUCAAUACACUUGAGGUUGAC
Molecule: non-coding RNA, 1270 nt
Organism: Paramuricea clavata
Lineage: Eukaryota; Metazoa; Cnidaria; Anthozoa; Malacalcyonacea; Plexauridae
Source: the annotation of a GenBank genome assembly